This 88-nucleotide transfer RNA is filed under the name Pelagimonas phthalicica. RNAcentral's name for it is "Tropicibacter phthalicicus tRNA-Thr". It matches the Rfam family "tRNA". From Rfam's summary of the family: Transfer RNA (tRNA) molecules are approximately 80 nucleotides in length. Their secondary structure includes four short double-helical elements and three loops (D, anti-codon, and T loops). The record is from RNAcentral. RNAcentral also lists the same sequence under 1 other name. Lineage: Bacteria; Pseudomonadati; Pseudomonadota; Alphaproteobacteria; Rhodobacterales; Roseobacteraceae.
AGAGAGGUGACUGAGUGGCCAAAGGUACUCCGCUAUACCAGGGAGUAAGCAUGUCUGUGCUUCGAGGGUUCGAAUCCCUCCCUCUCAC